AAACCUCGUUUCUUCUCAUUCUCGUCUUCAGGUCACUUUCUUUCUCGUGGCUUCCAUCAUGCUUCGAAUCCAAACCCACUCUGUGGCUCUGCCGCCCGGAUUCUCUCCUUCCUGUUCUUCUCCCACCGCCAACUCACGAUUCUUCUCUCUCUCCGGCAAAUUCCCGAACUCGAUCCCUCUCUUCGUCCUGCGCCUCGGUAGAUCGCGCCGCGGGAGAUCCCUUCUUAGCCCCUGCAAGGCUUCCCUUGGCAAUGGCGACCGAGGGACCCCUGGAGAUGGCGGCGGUGGCUUCGGCACCGACGACGAUGACCAAUUCCUCCGGGCAUUUCUCCUCCUCUCAGAAACUGUCAGGCACUACAACCUGUGGAAGCAGGGUUUUGCAAUAGAUGAAAAAUGGAAUUUGCUUGGUCAUAGGCACUCUUUUUCUCAUCAGGCAAAAGGGGACAAUUCAAGCGAUAGCCCCUUUGGUCAUGGCUUUCUUCGUCGAUUUCAGAGCCCUACGAUAUUUCUCAAAAUUGCUUGUGAUGGGGAUCUACUAUUGCCAAUAAUUGUAGGAGAGUUUGCUGUUAGAAGACUUAUUAAUGACUCAACAGAUGAUCAACAUGAGGAAUGCCCAGAUCAGUUCCAGUUUGUGAAAAAUAUUGUGGGGACACUUGGCUAUGAGGUGAAAAUGGUGCGCAUUACAGAAAGAGUGGUCAAUACAUAUUAUGCACGCAUAUUCCUUGGAAAGCACACAGAGAGGACCAAUAUGAGCAUUGAUGCGCGCCCCUCAGAUGCUAUAAUUGUUGCCAAAAGGUUCCAGGCACCAAUUUAUGUAAGCAAGGCAAUUGUUCUAACAGAUGCUGUUAAAAUUGUUCAUGGAACGUCAAGAGGAAGUGGUGCAAAGACUGUUUAUGAUGUAACCAUGGACAGUGCAGCAGACGGCCCUGAUCUGCUUGUUGAGGAACUUGAUUUGGUCAGAAAGAUGAAUACAGCCGUCAUGGAGGAAAGAUAUGAAGAUGCAGGCAUCUAUGUUGAGAGACAAGCUUGCUAAGCUCCGCACGCCAAAACAAGAACUGUAGAGAAUUCUUAAUCAAGAUCUGACUUGGUUCAGGCUUCCCUCAGUCAAAAUCCCCUUCCACAAGGUUGAAAUGGAAAGAUAGCAACAAUAGAAAGGGUUUAUGGCUGUUUAAGCUCGGUAUCAAGCAUUGCUGAUAUGUUCAACUUGAAGAGCAAUAUCUUGGAGUCAAACAAGAUCCCAUUAAGUCUCACCAAAACUGCAGCAUGCUAUGUACAGUGCAAAGUUGUACUGCCCUGUUGAUGGCUUGUGUAUUUAUGGAUUCAGAAAAUUUCACAGCUUAUCUUGUUCUAUAUGAUUUUGUUCCCGGAAAACUUUUUUAUCAUUAAAGGAUUGGAUGUUGAUGAACUUUGAAAGCACUUGGUAAGCUGGAUCACUUCAUCAUUUGGCUGUCUACUGAUGAGGCUGCCAAGGUUGGUAAAGCAAGCAGAAGGAAACUGAUAGAAAGCAUAAACCAGGUGUGUGUUUUCCUCUUCUAUUUUUGCUUUUAUCCACUGUUUGAUUAUGCUUGUAUUUGAAUAGGUGUAUGUGAUACAUAUGGCGGUAACACUAACCAUGAUCACGAACAAAAUUCAAAUAGACGAUGAUUGUUUUAGUCCUUUUGAUCUGUUGCUCUACUAAUGCAUGCCCUAAUCCAAGAAUAUAAUUUACCAUCUCAUACUAGAGAAACAAAACCUUGAUCGACUUGAGCAGAAUGGUCGAACGCACUGUCGAAAAAGUCUAAACAUUUGUCUGAUCUAUUUUGAGUCUCAGAAAUGACUUUUCAGAACCUUAUAUUUAACAAAUAGUCUUUUGUAAAAUCAGGAUCUACAUUUGUAAAAUUUUAUGAUAAACUACAAUUUUCACUGUGCAUAGUAUUGAAUAAGAAGGAUUGAAUCCAUAUAGACCCUGCUUGCAUAGAGCAGUAUCCAGGCCAAUCCUACAGGAUUUAAUAAUCCCAGGGUUAAAACUCAGCACAGGUGAGGAAUAACUGUUUGGGUGACUAAUCCUAGGGAUAGCUAACCUAUGGAAAUAAACUUUUAUCCUAUAGGAUAAAAAUAAAGUGGUCAAGGGAACAUUAUUUUUAUCUUGUCGUCAUCACCCUCUGCUUCUCUGUCCCUUGUCUCUAUCGUGGUACCCAGCGGCCAGCACAUACAGUGACUGCCUCCCUUGCCGCCUCUGACCUCAGAUUUCCAUCUCCAUUCUCCACCGACCUUCGGCUCAUGUUUUGGAUGCCACCUGCGAGUUUUGUCAAUUUCUUCUUCCGAAUCAAUGGUCAUGAGGAUGACACCAACAUUGGCACCAUACCUGAUGUGGGACUUAGCCUUGCAUGGCUAAGCAUAGAUGACGUGAUCUGGAGAGAUUCCAAGGGCCAGGACUACCUCAAUCUCCCCAUGGCUGGCACAGUCAAAUCCAGAACCAAGUGCUGCCAUUGUUCCAAGGCAGGCAGGCCCUGGGUUGCACUUGACUGCACAAAAGUGCUGGACCUCCAGACACUGGGUCCAUUUCUUGAAGAGCUCUACAACUACACCAAGAUCCAAGAUAUAGAAUGGGUCUUUCACUGCGUGCUUCCUGGUGAUGAUAGACUAAAUGAGGCUGGUUACACCUUCGAGUCUCUUCUGAGGCUUGAUACCUUCUUCCACUUGACCCCUGUGGCAUGGAGCACAGCCUUGAUGGAGGAUAUGGUAAAGGCAUUUCUGAAUUUUUUUGGAGUUUUAGGAGGGGUUUCUGCAUGUGUCUGGAGCAGUCGAUGCCUUGUAUUAGUUUUCCCUCGGCUCAAAUGGCAAGAAUUUUAAACGACCAUUCCAGAGGAGCUGUAUUUUCUUUAUUAUGUCCCCAUUUGCCCCGUUUAAGUAGUAACUAGUAAGCAAUUGACUUACUGAUAUUGCAGGUGACCCGGGAGCAGGGCUAUUUUUAAACUAUUCUGAGACACGUACCUUUUUUUUAUUACAGUGAUGCAACCAUCUGGGCAUGAUACCCAUAUCAUGAAUUGUAGGACCAAAGAAAUGGGCAGGUGACAAUAAUGCUGGAGGUGACUUGGCAAUGCUACGGAUGAUGCUUGAAUUUUUUUGAGAUGGAAGAAUAUAAAAUCCGUGGUUGGUUAUAUACAGAUUGCAGAUAUGUGUAUAUGAUAUUAGGAUGUGAAACAUGCUACUCAUACUAAAAUGCUGUCAGGAUGAUUUGCUUUGAGGAUGCAUUGCAUCCCAAUUUGGGGUUACGCAGUUUUUUUUUUUCUGUUGACAUGAUCGGUUGGAAAUUAGUGGACCUUGAGCAGAGGAUGAGAGAGGGGCAGCUUCCUUUGCAAUUAUUGUUGCACUGUCCUCCAAUAAGCUUCUGGUGUACAUUGGAAUCGGAAAGCAAAGUUUAUCGUGAGCCAGGAAGAAGUAUUAGUCCUAGGUGAGCAGAACAUGCAUUUGGAACUCUGGCUUUGUGGAACUGCAGUAUUUUUGGAUGCAGAGCGAUAUUGCACUAUGUUAGGUCCGUUUUGUCAUUUUGCGAUGCUCACCAAGUCUUGACGAAUCCUUAUUUAAAUUUGAAGCUUCAUCAAUGUCACACUGUCUGGAAUGUGAAAGGGCUGGCAAAUCACAAAAAGGUCUUUUUUGGGAUUGAAGGAGGCUGAGAAGGCAGCCACCUGAAAUGAAGGUCACAAUUCGAGAGACAUUACUUUCAUCGACGUGCCUGGUGACCUGCCUCCAUGGGACUGAGCUUAACCAACUCAUAGCCUAGCAACUUAAUCCAUAUAUGGAAAGGACCAUGACGAAUGGGGCUUUUAUGGAGGAAUUAUAACAAAUUGGAACUCUUCAAGAAUCAAUAAAGCCUGUUCACCUUCCU
Elaeis guineensis (African oil palm) is the source of this 3868-nucleotide non-coding RNA. The record is from RefSeq and is a predicted model, not a curated record. NCBI's taxonomy places the organism in Eukaryota, Viridiplantae, Streptophyta, Magnoliopsida, Arecales, Arecaceae.